CUGGGACUGAGACACGGCCCAGACUCCUACGGGAGGCAGCAGUGGGGAAUAUUGCACAAUGGGCGAAAGCCUGAUGCAGCGACGCCGCGUGAGGGAUGACGGCCUUCGGGUUGUAAACCUCUUUCAGUAGGGAACAAGGCCAAUGUUUAGUUGGUUGAGGGUACUUGCAGAAGAAGCACCGGCUAACUACGUGCCAGCAGCCGCGGUAAUACGUAGGGUGCAAGCGUUAUCCGGAAUUAUUGGGCGUAAAGAGCUCGUAGGCGGUUUGUCGCGUCUGCCGUGAAAGUCCGGGGCUCAACCCCGGAUCUGCGGUGGGUACGGGCAGACUAGAGUGAUGUAGGGGAGACUGGAAUUCCUGGUGUAGCGGUGAAAUGCGCAGAUAUCAGGAGGAACACCGAUGGCGAAGGCAGGUCUCUGGGCAUUAACUGACGCUGAGGAGCGAAAGCAUGGGGAGCGAACAGGAUUAGAUACCCUGGUAGUCCAUGCCGUAAACGUUGGGCACUAGGUGUG
This 510-nucleotide ribosomal RNA is filed under the name Arthrobacter psychrolactophilus. RNAcentral's name for it is "bacterial SSU rRNA". It matches the Rfam family "Bacterial small subunit ribosomal RNA", at positions 313 to 824 of the family's 1533-position model. The record is from RNAcentral. Lineage: Bacteria; Bacillati; Actinomycetota; Actinomycetes; Micrococcales; Micrococcaceae.